Molecule: unclassified non-coding RNA, 23 nt
Filed under: Dictyostelium discoideum
Lineage: Eukaryota; Evosea; Eumycetozoa; Dictyosteliales; Dictyosteliaceae
Source: RNAcentral
UUGUGGUGGAACAGACGUCCUUA